This 455-nucleotide ribosomal RNA is filed under the name uncultured Sphingobacteriales bacterium. Its description in RNAcentral is "bacterial SSU rRNA". It matches the Rfam family "Bacterial small subunit ribosomal RNA", at positions 930 to 1382 of the family's 1533-position model. The record is from RNAcentral. Lineage: Bacteria; Pseudomonadati; Bacteroidota; Sphingobacteriia; Sphingobacteriales.
CGGUGGAGCAUGUGGUUUAAUUCGAAGACAACGACGAAGAACCUUACCAGGCCUUGACAUGCAGAGAACUUUCCAGAGAUGGAUUGGUGCCUUCGGGAACUCUGACACAGGUGCUGCAUGGCUGUCGUCAGCUCGUGUCGUGAGGUGUCGGGUUAAGUCCCAUAACGAGCGCAACCCUACCCUUUAGUUGCCAUCAGGUAAUGCUGGGGACUCUAAAGGAACUGCCUACGCAAGUAGUGAGGAAGGCGGGGAUGACGUCAAAUCAGCACGGCCCUUACGUCCAGGGCUACACACGUGCUACAAUGGCCGAUACAGAGGGCAGCUACCUGGUGACAGGAUGCAAAUCUCCAAAGUCGGUCUCAGUUCGGAUCGGAGUCUGCAACCCGACUCCGUGAAGUUGGAUUCGCUAGUAAUCGCGCAUCAGCCAUGGCGCGGUGAAUACGUUCCCGGGCCUU